GAUGAACGCUGGCGGCGUGCCUAAUACAUGCAAGUCGAGCGAACAGACGAGGAGCUUGCUUCUCUGACGUUAGCGGCGGACGGGUGAGUAACACGUGGAUAACCUACCUAUAAGACUGGGAUAACUUCGGGAAACCGGAGCUAAUACCGGAUAAUAUAUUGAACCGCAUGGUUCAAUAGUGAAAGACGGUUUUGCUGUCACUUAUAGAUGGAUCCGCGCCGCAUUAGCUAGUUGGUAAGGUAACGGCUUACCAAGGCAACGAUGCGUAGCCGACCUGAGAGGGUGGUCGGCCACACUGGAACUGAGACACGGUCCAGACUCCUACGGGAGGCAGCAGUAGGGAAUCUUCCGGAAUGGGCGAAAACCUGACGGGGCAACGCCGCGGGGGUGAUGAAGGUCUUCGGAUCGUAAAACUCUGUUAUUAGGGAAGAACAAAUGUGUAAGUAACUAUGCACGUCUUGACGGUACCUAAUCAGAAAGCCACGGCUAACUACGUG
Molecule: ribosomal RNA, 497 nt
Filed under: uncultured bacterium
Lineage: Bacteria
Description: partial 16S ribosomal RNA
Rfam family: Bacterial small subunit ribosomal RNA
Source: RNAcentral